UWGUKUUUGAUCCUGGCUCAGRGCGAACGCUGGCGGCAGGCUUAACACAUGCAAGUCGAGCGGGCGUAGCAAUACGUCAGCGGCAGACGGGUGAGUAACGCGUGGGAACGUACCUUUUGGUUCGGAACAACACAGGGAAACUUGUGCUAAUACCGGAUAAGCCCUUACGGGGAAAGAUUUAUCGCCGAAAGAUCGGCCCGCGUCUGAUUAGCUAGUUGGUAGGGUAAUGGCCUACCAAGGCGACGAUCAGUAGCUGGUCUGAGAGGAUGAUCAGCCACAUUGGGACUGAGACACGGCCCAAACUCCUACGGGAGGCAGCAGUGGGGAAUAUUGGACAAUGGGGGCAACCCUGAUCCAGCCAUGCCGCGUGAGUGAUGAAGGCCCUAGGGUUGUAAAGCUCUUUUGUGCGGGAAGAUAAUGACGGACCGCAG
This 431-nucleotide ribosomal RNA is filed under the name uncultured Bradyrhizobium sp. RNAcentral describes it as "bacterial SSU rRNA". It matches the Rfam family "Bacterial small subunit ribosomal RNA", at positions 1 to 464 of the family's 1533-position model. Lineage: Bacteria; Pseudomonadati; Pseudomonadota; Alphaproteobacteria; Hyphomicrobiales; Nitrobacteraceae. The record is from RNAcentral.